UCUUCCUUGAGAUCCUAAAAUUGCAAUGGGUGGGACUGUGGCUGGCUUGGUUAUUACUGUCACCUCAGGACCUAGCUGUGUCUGGCAGGUAGAAGUUGCUUAUUUGAUGUUUGCUGAACCAAAGGAAUGCCUACCUCCACCCUGCACAGUAUGUUCCCCCUGCCUGGGCCACCAUACUUUCUAGGCUUAUUAGCUGCGUGACCUUGGACAAGUUACUGGGUAUCUGCUUCAGUUUUCUCAUUUGUAAAAUGGCACCAAAAAUAGUAUGUAAUUCAGGAAGGAUUAAAGAAAACAGUACCUAAUUAAAUGAUUGAAGAAGAAAAGAGUGCACAGCACUGAAACCAGCAUAUUUCUCCUCAUUCAUUCCUGGGCCACCUCAAGCCAGCCUUCCCCUCAGCCAUGAUCACCAGAUAAUCAGAAUAUACUGUUCUGAUUGUUUCCACGACAAAGUCAUUUCCAAGUUUCUGAGACUAGAGCAAGACAACUGAAGGCAGCAAGCAGUCACUUCCCCAUCAGCUGGAGAGUCGAGGACGCUGGAACCAGAAAGCCCGUGGUGCAGGCUGGAGGUUACUUCGCCAUCUCCACGGCGUUAGGAUUCUAAGAACUCAAUCUCUUUAGAGUCUCAUCUCGUGCCUCUAGUCCAUGCUACCAGAAUCUGCAGCGGCUCUGACGGCGUCUGCACUGUGAACACAGCAAGAGCUUUGCAGCCUGGGUACCAAAGGCUUUUCUCCUUCCUGUUCUCUAGUGAACUAGGAAACUCCAGGAUCCUGACGGGACUCCCACUGAAGGAACGAAGACCAGCUCCCCAGACUUAUUAAAAAAGAAUGACAAUAGAUUUAAAGAGACUGAGCAGGAAGAUUUCUGAACCAAAACAAUUAUUGAAAAGAGAGGAGCAUUUUGAUGUGCUGUUCUUUGGAAUUUCUAUAAUUAAAAAAUAAACACAGAACUAUUUCAUAAGAAAAUACAUCUUAGUGUGCAAUCCAAUGCACAUGGAAAUUGGUAGAUGAAUGGCAAAAUGCAAAAAAGUAUGAAAAUACAGUCCUUUAAAUGCGGCAAUAAAGUUUAACAUACUGAUAUAAAAUCAAUACAGAUAAAAUAAAUGGACAAGUGCAAAAAAUUCAUCUGUAAA
Molecule: long non-coding RNA, 1129 nt
Organism: Myotis lucifugus (little brown bat)
Lineage: Eukaryota; Metazoa; Chordata; Mammalia; Chiroptera; Vespertilionidae
Exons: 2
Source: RefSeq, a predicted model, not a curated record